Molecule: long non-coding RNA, 2212 nt
Filed under: Gallus gallus (chicken)
Lineage: Eukaryota; Metazoa; Chordata; Aves; Galliformes; Phasianidae
Source: RNAcentral
AUUCAGUGAGAAUCUGCAGUCCAAGUCUAAGUACUUAGGCAUUUGGAGGAUAAGCUCUGAUUUCAUAUCUUACUGAUCUAAAAGAAUGAAAUAAAACAUGUUAAUGAAAUUCAUAGAUAAUGAAUGUUGACAGGAGUUGUAAAGAUAUUUAGCAAGAAGUUAUCCAAAGACUGGAAGAACGAAUUUGUGAGAAAAUAUGUAAAUGCAAAUUUAGUAAAGAAGAAUUAUUUACAAGCUGCUGGAAUAAUAGAGAAAAAGGCCCACGAUUGUUAAAAAUUGAAUACCUUUAGGUCAAUGUAUGUGACAGAACUGUGGAAAAAAUUCGAAAUUCAUAUUUGAGAGCUUGUCAUUGAUUUCCAGUGUGAGGUUUGGUGUUGUAUAUAUAUGUAUAUGUAAAUGUUUGGCAAUAGUCAGCAUUACAAGAAUAAAUGCCUCCUGGGAGUUCUGAAAUUACCUGAUAAAAACUAAGCAACCACUGCUGUAAGUUAUAAUAAGUUUUAUAUAGUUUUAUACCACAAAAUCAAUCUGCCACUUAAAGAUUACUUUCUACUUGUUGCUUGAAAACAUGUGAGUGUUCCUGCAUCAGUUUGGAUCACACAAAAAAGCAAUACAUAAAAUCUACAAAGUAUUCUUAAUUUUAAAAGAGAAAAUGUGAAUAAUUAUGUAGAAUAUCUAGUGAAGCAUAGUGAACUAAACAGUUCCAGAAUUUAAAAAUCAAGAAGACUUAGACUUUUCAUAAGCAGAAAUGCAAAGGAUACCUGAGCUAAGGGAAAACAUUUCAUAAGUAAUAGUUCAAUAUCAGUAUCAUUCAGGACAGAUGAGGAAAUGUUAAAUGUGGUUAUUAUGUCCAAAAUUAUUAAUGACAAUUUUCUUAAAUCUUUCAAUUAAGGCAAUGGUAUAUAAUAAGAAGAGAGAAAAUGGUGAAAAUGAAGACAUGGGAAUGUAUGCUCUACAGCAUAAAAAAAAAAGCUUUAAAAAUUCUAUGUUAUCAAGAUGAGGGAGUUUAGACAGACCUCAUUCCAGAAUUUUGAAAAUGACAUAUUUGAAACCACGGGUCUGUUAGAUUAACGUAACUCUUAUCAACCUAUCCCAGUUGAUAGCCUGUACUCAGGGAACAUGGUAAGUCCUGCAUUUAUAAUUUAAAGGAAGACAUAAGUAAUUAGGGACUGUAGGUUCAUCUGGCUUUAAUAUCAUGCAAAGUUUUAGAAAAAAAAUUCUGCUGAAAUUAUAAUUAAAUGUAUGAACAGAAUUAGAAAUAGGACAAAACAUGUUUUUAACUGCAAUUUUUCUUUGAAAAAUGAUUUUCUAGUCAAAUGACAUGGAAUAGAGCUCAUCUAUUUGGACUUUAGUUAAAUAUUUGAUACAGUGCCAAAGAGUAAAUUAAAAAUAGGAUUAGUACAGGAAUUUUAAUGUGCUGUGAGGAAAUGACUAAAGAGUAGAAAACCAUAUUGAAAUAGUUAAGAUGCACUGUAGUGGAAUUGGGUUAUUGCUGGCUUCUUUUAGAGUUGGUUUGUAAGAGUUCUUAUUUAAUAAUUUCCUUAAUGACCUUAGUCCAAAAGGCAGGAGAACAUCAUUGAAAUUUCCAAUGGCACAUAUUUACAAGGAUUUUCUCAGUCUAAGAUCCCUUCCAAUCCAAAUCAUUAUGUAAUAAUUGAAGGAAAAGCUGACAAAGGAAAUGGAAAGGUCUGAAAAAAAAUUAAACAGUAAUGGGAAAAUGGAACUAAAUUCGGUGGAUUGUGCAGUGUAGAAUGUCAGUGGACUGCCAUAGAUUUAGGGUCUGAUAAGGAUUUGCGCAGUAAUCUGGUAGAUCCAGUAGGUAUGGAGGAAAAAGAGGUGUGUGAAGUAUGUGACUGAAUCAUCAAAACCAUACAGGCAUGAGGAAAGCCUGUAAGAAAAUCUUAAAGCCUUUCCUGAAAAGUAUUGUAAAACUGAGGUUACUAAGACAAAGAAAAGAAUAUUUCACAGUAUAACUGCUGAAUGAAAGAAUCAAGUAGGGGAAUAACAUAAUCUAGUAGAAGAUACCAACAAGUGGGGGGGGAAAAAAACAUGAAAGCUAAGAACAGAUAUGAUUUUCUCCUUUAAAUCUACCAAAAGGAUAUGUAUAGGAAAAGAGAAAACUGCAAAACUAGAAAGUUAUUCUGCCACCAGAAUUAAUUGGAUAUACACUAAGCAUUAAUUAUUUUAAGCUAAAAGUUAUAAGAUUUCUAACCAG